UACGUAGGGUGCGAGCGUUGUCCGGAAUUACUGGGCGUAAAGAGCUCGUAGGUGGUUUGUCGCGUUGUCCGUGAAAACUCACAACUCAAUUGUGGGCGUGCGGGCGAUACGGGCAGACUGGAGUACUGCAGGGGAGACUGGAAUUCCUGGUGUAGCGGUGGAAUGCGCAGAUAUCAGGAGGAACACCGGGGGCGAAGGCGGGUCUCUGGGCAGUAACUGACGCUGAGUGAGCGAAAGCCAGGGGAGCAAACGGG
RNAcentral lists this ribosomal RNA (254 nucleotides) under uncultured bacterium. RNAcentral's name for it is "partial 16S ribosomal RNA". It matches the Rfam family "Bacterial small subunit ribosomal RNA", at positions 524 to 776 of the family's 1533-position model. The record is from RNAcentral.